UACGUAGGCAGCAAGCGUUGUUCGGAGUUACUGGGCGUAAAGGGUGUGUAGGCGGUUUUUUAAGUUUGCUGUGAAAUCUCCCGGCUUAACCGGGAGGGUGCGGUGAAUACUGAGGGACUAGAGUACGGGAGAGGAAAGUGGAAUUCCUGGUGUAGCGGUGAAAUGCGUAGAUAUCAGGAGGAACACCGGUGGUGUAGACGGCUUUCUGGACCGACACUGACGCUGAGACACGAAAGCGUGGGUAGCAAACAGG
RNAcentral lists this ribosomal RNA (253 nucleotides) under uncultured bacterium. RNAcentral's name for it is "partial 16S ribosomal RNA". It matches the Rfam family "Bacterial small subunit ribosomal RNA", at positions 524 to 776 of the family's 1533-position model. The record is from RNAcentral.